UAAUUACUCCCUCCGUCCAGAAAUACUUGUUAGAGAAAUGAAUGUAUCUAGGCAUAUUUUAGUUCUAAAUACAUUCACUUUUAUCUAUUUGUGCGACAAGUAAUUCCGGACAGAGGGAAUAUUAU
Molecule: non-coding RNA, 125 nt
Organism: Triticum aestivum (bread wheat)
Lineage: Eukaryota; Viridiplantae; Streptophyta; Magnoliopsida; Poales; Poaceae
Source: Rfam